UUGCAGCCAGUUAAGCCGACUGUACCCUUUUCCCCAUGGGGGCCCGGUGCGCAGUGGCUGCACCUCGGUAGUGUGUGCGGCCUGUUGCCUGUGUGGGCUGCCCUAAGGGACCCUGGAGACAGCC
RNAcentral lists this small nucleolar RNA (124 nucleotides) under Delphinapterus leucas (beluga whale). RNAcentral describes it as "Small nucleolar RNA SNORA70 (ENSDLEG00000001585.1)". It matches the Rfam family "Small nucleolar RNA SNORA70". Rfam says of the family: snoRNA U70 seems to be exclusive to mammals and is a member of the H/ACA class of snoRNA which contain H (ANANNA) and ACA box motifs. H/ACA box snoRNAs are involved in the conversion of uridines to pseudouridines (5-ribosyluracil) a constituent of structural RNAs (transfer, ribosomal, small nuclear, and small nucleolar). The record is from Rfam by way of RNAcentral. Lineage: Eukaryota; Metazoa; Chordata; Mammalia; Artiodactyla; Monodontidae.